Molecule: ribosomal RNA, 274 nt
Filed under: uncultured bacterium
Lineage: Bacteria
Description: partial 16S ribosomal RNA
Rfam family: Bacterial small subunit ribosomal RNA
Source: RNAcentral
AUACGGAGGGUGCAAGCGUUAUCCGGAAUCAUUGGGUUUAAAGGGUCCGUAGGCGGAUUGGUAAGUCAGUGGUGAAAGUCUGCAGCUUAACUGUAGAAUUGCCAUUGAUACUGCUAGUCUUGAAUUACUGUGAAGUGAUUAGAAUGUGUAGUGUAGCGGUGAAAUGCAUAGAUAUUACACAGAAUACCAAUUGCGAAGGCAGAUCACUAACAGUAUAUUGACGCUGAGGGACGAAAGCGUGGGGAGCGAACAGGAUUAGAUACCCUUGUAGUCC